Homo sapiens (human) is the source of this 1625-nucleotide RNA transcript. It is a transcript of the gene named ankyrin repeat and SOCS box containing 9 pseudogene 1, with no coding region annotated. The record is from RefSeq and is marked provisional. NCBI's taxonomy places the organism in Eukaryota, Metazoa, Chordata, Mammalia, Primates, Hominidae. The transcript has a single exon.
GGCCUCUGGCGGGCCUCCAGCCAGUUAGACCAUUUGACUAGGACGUGUGCAGCUCAGCCAGCCACAGAACUGGAAUUUUUCAGGAGCAGGGGGAGCAUGGAGUUUGGACUUUGCUGAGCAACUGAAGUGGAGCGCAGAGCUUGCUCGCUUAGGAGAGGGCAGCAUGGAUGGCAAACAAGGGGGCAUGGAUGGGAGCAAGCCCACGGGGCCAAGAGACUCUCCUGACACCAGGCUUCUUUCAAACCCAUUGAUGGGUGAUUCUGUGUCUGAUUGGUCUCCUAUGCCUGAAGCUGCAAUCUACGGACAUCAGCUGUCUCUGAGGAACCUCAUCAGCCACGGGUGGCUUGUGAACAUCAUCAUGGCAGAUCAUGUUUCCCCACUCCAUGAAGCCUGUCUCAGAGGUCAUCCCUCUCGUGUAAAGAUUUUAUUAAAGCAUGGAGCUCAGGUGAAUGGCGUGACAACAGACUGGCACACUCCACUGUUUAAUGUUUGUAUCAGCAGCAGCUGGGAUUAUGCUUCUGCAGCAUGGAGCCAGCGUUCAACCUGAGAGUGAUCUGGCAUCCCCCGUCCAUGAAGCUGCUAGGAGAGGCCACGUGGAGUGUGUCGACUCUCUUACAGCUUAUAGGGGCAAAAAUGACCAUAACAUCAGCCACGUGGGCACUUCACUGUAUUUGGCUUGUGAAAACCAGCAGAUAGCCUGUGUCAAGAAGCUUCUGGAGUCAGGAGCAGACCUGAACCCAGGGAGAGGUUCCCCACUUCAUGCAGUGGCCUUCAUGAAGGCCCUCAUGAAGGAUUCCCCACUUCAUGCAGUGGCCAGGACAGCCAGUGAAGAGCUGGCCUGCCUGCUCAUGGAUUUUGGAGCAGACACCCAGGCCAAGAAUGCUGAAGGCAAAUGUCAUGUGGAGCUGGUGCCUCCAGAGAGCCCUUUGAUCCAGCUCUUCUUGGAGAGAGAAGGGCCCCCUUCUUUUGAUGCAGUUAUGCCUAGAAAUCAGAAGGGCUUUGGAAUCCAGCAGCAUCAUAAGAUAACCAAAGUCGUCCUCCCAGAGGAUCUGAAAUGGUUUCUCCUACAUCUUUGUAUGUAUCAAUGGAAUGGAUUCACAAACAAUGUGAAAACAUUAUUGAGUGUUGUAGCCACUAGAAUUUUAAAAUCAAGUUAGGUUUAUAGAGUUUGACUAGUUUUUUCGAUUAGAUUUGUAUUAGUUAUAAAUUUGUUCAUAGAGUUUGACUAAUUUUUUCGAUUAGAUUUGUAUUUGUUAAACUCUGAAGCCAGAGUUUAAACACACUGCAUACGUUUGUAUGAUUAGUUAGAAGGCAUGAAGACUUUUUUCCCUGCUUGGAGACUGUCUAAAAUAACAGCUAUUGUUUUGCAUAUCCACUGCAGGCCAAGCACUUUCAGCAUCAUCUAAUUCAGCCCUCACAGCAACUGGGUCAAUCUGUCCAAUUUCCCAGGGCAAGGAUAGAGGAGUCAGAUUCAAAUACAGGUUUUCUGACGUUAACUUAUGUGAUGAUUUGAUCAAAGCAGGAUUUUCCAGCAUCACUAUCCUUGUUCCAUCUCUGCUAUAUGGGAAUGAAAAUAAAGAAAUGUAUUUCAAAAAAAUAAAAAGAAAAGAAAAACAGAGACGGUC